This 492-nucleotide ribosomal RNA is filed under the name uncultured bacterium. RNAcentral's name for it is "partial 16S ribosomal RNA". It matches the Rfam family "Bacterial small subunit ribosomal RNA", at positions 29 to 507 of the family's 1533-position model. The record is from RNAcentral.
AGUGAACGCUGGCGGUAGGCCUAACACAUGCAAGUCGAACGGCAGCACAGUAAGAGCUUGCUCUUACGGGUGGCGAGUGGCGGACGGGUGAGGAAUACAUCGGAAUCUACUUUUUCGUGGGGGAUAACGUAGGGAAACUUACGCUAAUACCGCAUACGACCUACGGGUGAAAGCAGGGGAUCUUCUGACCUUGCGCGAUUGAAUGAGCCGAUGUCGGAUUAGCUAGUUGGCGGGGUAAAGGCCCACCAAGGCGACGAUCCGUAGCUGGUCUGAGAGGAUGAUCAGCCACACUGGAACUGAGCCACGGUCCAGACUCCUACGGGAGGCAGCAGUGGGGAAUAUUGGACAAAGGGCGCAAGCCUGAUCCAGCCAUACCGCGUGGGUGAAGAAGGCCUUCGGGUUGUAAAGCCCUUUUGUUGGGAAAGAAAAGCAGCAGGUUAAUACCCCGCUGUUCUGACGGUACCCAAAGAAUAAGCACCGGCUAACUUCGUG